Molecule: ribosomal RNA, 292 nt
Filed under: uncultured microorganism
Description: partial 16S ribosomal RNA
Rfam family: Bacterial small subunit ribosomal RNA
Source: RNAcentral
GUGCUACCGGCCGCUGUAAUCGUAGGGUGCUCUCUGUUGUGCGAGAUAAUUGGUCUAAUGGAUAUUCUACGUGGUUCGUCGCGUCUGCUGUGGAAACGCAAGGCUCAACCUUGCGCGUGCAGUGGGUACGGGCGGACUAGAGUGCAGUAGGGGAGUCUGGAAUUCCUGGUGUAGCGGUGAAAUGCGCAGAUAUCAGGAGGAACACCGGUGGCGAAGGCGGGACUCUGGGCUGUAACUGACGCUGAGGAGCGAAAGCAUGGGGAGCGAACAGGAUUAGAUACCCUGGUAGUCC